Non-coding RNA from Bos taurus (domestic cattle), 73 nucleotides. The record is from Rfam. Lineage: Eukaryota; Metazoa; Chordata; Mammalia; Artiodactyla; Bovidae.
UCCCUGGUGGCUCAGAUGGUAAAGAAUAUGCCUGAAAUGCAGGACACCCAGGUUCAAUCCCUGGGUCAGGGAA